Molecule: non-coding RNA, 45 nt
Organism: Gossypium hirsutum (cotton)
Lineage: Eukaryota; Viridiplantae; Streptophyta; Magnoliopsida; Malvales; Malvaceae
Source: Rfam
UUAGCGGCGCUUUUUAGCGCCACAAAAAAUAUUUGCGGCGCUUUG